CUGAUAACUAAAGGAGCAAUUCGCGUUUGGGAGGGACCUGCGUCCCAUCAGCUAGUUGGUGAGGUAAUGGCUCACCAAGGCUACGACGGGUAGGGGACCUGAGAGGUGACCCCCACAAUGGAACUGAAACACGGUCCAUACACCUACGGGGUGGCAGCAGUAGGGAAUAUUGCACAAUGGGCGAAAGCCUGAUGCAGCAACGCCGCGUGUGCGAUGAAGGCCCUCGGGGUCGUAAAGCACUUUUCUGAGAGAUGAGCAAGGACAGUAUCUCAGGAAUAAGUCUCGGCUAACUACGUGCCAGCAGCCGCGGUAAAACGUAGGAGGCAAGCGUUAUCCGGAUUCACUGGGCGUAAAGCGCGUGCAGGCGGUUCGGUAAGUUGGGUAUGAAAUCUCCUGGCUUAACUAGGAGAGGUUAUCCAAUACUACCGGACUUGAGAGUGGUAGAGGAAGAUGGAAUUCCCGGUGUAGUGGUGAAAUGCGUAGAUAUCGGGAGGAACACCAGUGGCGAA
RNAcentral lists this ribosomal RNA (509 nucleotides) under uncultured bacterium. Its description in RNAcentral is "bacterial SSU rRNA". It matches the Rfam family "Bacterial small subunit ribosomal RNA", at positions 194 to 719 of the family's 1533-position model. The record is from RNAcentral.